UAGUCCACGCCCUAAACGAUGCUUACUAGUUGUUGGCGAUAUACAGUCAGCGACAAAGAGAAAUCAUUAAGUAAGCCACCUGGGGAGUACGUUCGCAAGAAUGAAACUCAAAGGAAUUGACGGGGGCCCGCACAAGCGGUGGAGCAUGUGGUUUAAUUCGAUGAUACGCGAGGAACCUUACCAGGGCUUAAAUGUAGUAUGACAGAUUUGGAAACAGAUUUUUCUUCGGACAUAUUACAAGGUGCUGCAUGGUUGUCGUCAGCUCGUGCCGUGAGGUGUCAGGUUAAGUCCUAUAACGAGCGCAACCCCUAUUGCUAGUUGCCAGCGAGUCAUGUCGGGGACUCUAGCGAGACUGCCGGUGCAAACCGUGAGGAAGGUGGGGAUGACGUCAAAUCAUCACGGCCCUUACGUCCUGGGCCACACACGUGCUACAAUGGUAGGGACAGAGAGCAGCCACCACGCGAGUGGGAGCGAAUCUAUAAACCCUAUCACAGUUCGG
Molecule: ribosomal RNA, 499 nt
Filed under: uncultured bacterium
Lineage: Bacteria
Description: bacterial SSU rRNA
Rfam family: Bacterial small subunit ribosomal RNA
Source: RNAcentral